CUGUCUCUGGGAUGUUCGCCAGCCGGUCUGAUUCCCCUGAGCCGAUAUCAUCUCUUUAGGAUGGUGUUCUGCAUAUUUAGAGCGUAUGCCUACCCCGAGUAGGAAACCCAGCAAGUAUGCGUCACCUCCACC
RNAcentral lists this small RNA (132 nucleotides) under Acinetobacter baumannii. RNAcentral's name for it is "partial 6S RNA". It matches the Rfam family "6S / SsrS RNA", at positions 1 to 134 of the family's 187-position model. Rfam says of the family: E. coli 6S RNA was the first non coding RNA to be sequenced, but its function was unknown until recently. It consists of 184 nucleotides that fold into an extended hairpin structure with a large single-stranded internal bulge. The 6S RNA specifically associates with RNA polymerase holoenzyme containing the sigma70 specificity factor. The record is from RNAcentral. Lineage: Bacteria; Pseudomonadati; Pseudomonadota; Gammaproteobacteria; Moraxellales; Moraxellaceae.